Molecule: long non-coding RNA, 2786 nt
Organism: Erpetoichthys calabaricus (reedfish)
Lineage: Eukaryota; Metazoa; Chordata; Cladistia; Polypteriformes; Polypteridae
Exons: 3
Source: RefSeq, a predicted model, not a curated record
AGGGUAUUGCUGCAGACCGGAGACAUUAUGGGCGGAUCUGAAGGCGGGAUAACUGUAAAUGCAAGUGGAUAGUAUUGGCUAAUUCAGAAUUUCAACGAAUGAGAUUAUUAAUACUCUAUGACAAUCAAAAACUCACCUGUCCAAUUAUCAGCGCUUGAAGCUGUCUAUCAAGUGUAACUUUAACCAAACAUUUCACAGUUCGUGAUCCCUACCUCUUUGAGGUUCCGCCUUAUUGAGUUACCUCUAAAUAACCUGCCGUUGUACCAACAGAUGAAACUCCAUUAAACUAAAGGAGAUAAAAAAAGAAGCUGCGGCGAUGAAACUCCAUUAGACAAAAGAAGAAGAAGCGACCAAACUAAUUGCUCGUAUUUUUGACAAUGGAACCAGCUUGCUACAAGAAUAUCUUCUGGAAAUUGGAUGUUAAUGAAAAAUGAGGACAUCCCUGCUGGUUCAGUAGACUGUGGAAUAGACACAUUGAUGGUGUGUGAAUAUGAACUGUAAGCUUUAUGUAACUUUACAUUUGUGUUUAGAUUGUGUAGGAUUUCAAUACUUUUUCUCUUAUUCUCUCUCAGUAUUCUCUUUAUCUGACUAUAGAGGAACCCUUUGAUUUUACUGUCAGUCUUUAAAAGAUACUGAUAAUAUAUAAUUUUUUUUUCAUGUGUGACAUACCUUUAAUUGUGUCAUUCAUUUAACGUGCCCUCCACUAUUAAUGACACCCCUUAUAAAAAUGUUAAUUUUAAAAAUAUUUAUUUCUUGAUGAGGGCUUUGUUUUUCUUUGAAUGAAAUUGUUUCAAUUACAAGUCAGAAGUUUCUAAUUUUUUCAGUGCAAGGUGACAUUUCUUCAGCAAACAGGGAUCUUUUUUCUAACCCUUCUUACUAAUUUUUACAAGGGGUGCCAAUAAUAGUGGAGAGCACUGUGUUUAUCCUUUUUAUUUUAGGAUGACAUGUCUGUGACUUGCAUAUUACUUUAGGUAGUGUCCAGAUUGGGGUAUUCAUAAUAUUCUGAAAUAAUUGAUGUAUUCUAAAAAAACUAUUGAGAUAACCAUGAAUGAGAGUUUGUGUAGUGAACCACAGAGGAAUUCUCACAGUUUGAACUCUACACCAAAGUGUCCACUUUUAUGAGAAAACAGGAGUGUUCAUACCCAAACCAGAUAGUUUGCACAAGACAAAUACUUCAUGUGACAGUCUGAUGUAUUUAUUUGUGUGUGUCCACCAUGUAGGAGAGCAGGCUGGCUGUGUGACUGCAGUGGGGCAGCUGACUUGAGAACAACGGGCUCAGGUUUAUGAGGCUGCAGAGAUCAGCAGGGCCUCCAGGAGACUCAACAUGGAAAACUGUUGGAGUUCAUCAUAAAAUGCCAUGGAGCAGAUGAUCACUUGCUGGUAACUUAGUUCAGAUAACAAGUAAACCUUUGUUAUUGUAAUCUAUCUAGCAGCAAAGAGCUGUGAUGACCUUAUAGCACCAAACUCUUGUAUUUGCUUGUCCAACAGGCUGUUGUAUCUGAAAAGGUGUCAUCCAAACGGUUUAAAAAAUUAUGAAGCUCUUAAAGGUCACCGGGUAAUGACCUCUAUACAGUAGAAGAUGAGGAGCUGACAGAUGGCUUCUACAACUACCUGAUGAAGUGCUAUCAAGAGCUGUAGGCACUUUUGAAAAGAUCAACAGAGUUCACAUCAUUGUGGAUGUGCUGAUGCCAGAGGCUCAUUUGGCUUCAGUGAAUCUCUGAUGAGUACAGAGAGUGUCUCCAUGAGUAAGAAGCAGAAGGUCUGCUCAUUGAUGGACCAGCAGACGAUGAGUGGGACGUCAUGUGGUGUUGGGGAGCAGACAGUUCUUUCUUUUUAUUUUCAGCGCCAUUAUUCUGUUAAUUAUAAUACCAUUUUACUUGUAGUGUAUUUAGCCAAGAAUAUAAACUAAAUACAUAUAAAUGUAAAUAUAUGUUUAAAGUGAUAUUUAAAAUACACAUUAAUACACUUUUAGUAUUGGUGAAAGUCAAUCUUUUGUUUAUUUUUUAAAGUGAGUGAAGAGUUUGACAAACUUGAGCUUCAACUGUUGGAGUACCAAAGACAGACAACAUCACUGAGGCAUCUCAACUUGGGAUUCCAUCUCAACGCCUCCUCUAAUAAACGUGUCACUGGCUUUAUUAGUCUUUGGCCUUUUUUUUUUCUGAGUGUUAAACUGACUGUGCAUAAUAGAGUUGUGUAUAUUUGAUUUAACUAUUGAUGUAAAUAAUAAAGGACAUUUUGUCUGGGUAUCUGUUUUAGCCAAUUCAUGCCAUCUGCAUUUUUUCUUUAAUUUUUAUAAAUGCAUUGUACAGUUUUAUUACUUUUGUAAACAUUACAAGCAAACAUGUCUAUCACCAUUACAUAUUAUUUAUAUAUAAUAUAUAGAAGUGGGCCUGCUUUAGUAUAUUCCCCGAUCAGUCUGUUUGUUAGAAUGCACAAAGAAGAUGAAUUUUUCUUUCAGUUCAACUGACCCAUCAUUAUUGUUAAUUCUAAAUGUUUCUUGAAAUGGUUGUACAAUUUAUACUGAAUGAUUACUAAUAACAUUAUGUUUUUGGUAGUGACAAUACGGAGUGUUUUAAUUUGUGCUGCCCAAUCACCUCGUGUAAUAACACAACUAGAACUGAUAGAUUUGAGCAGAGCCUCCUCUUGUAUCAACACUGUCUAUAAAUGGCACUUUGCUGGACUCACCGGUAAUCCCACAGCUUGGAAACUGAGCAUCCUGAUCAAGACUGUGCUGUUCACUUACAAACAUAGUCUACAACAAUAAGGGUCUUACUGAUCUUUAAUUA